GGGGUGAAUGCGUAAGUAAAACAGUAACUCAAUUGCUCAUAUAGCUUUCAAAGAAUGCAUGCUAAGUGUAAAUGACUCACAUUGUCUUGAAUAACUGAAGUCUUAAAAUCAUAAAUCAUGAAUGAUAAAGUGUACUGUAUAAAUCUUGUAAGUUAUAACACUUAGUUCUAAAAGCUAUAUCUUUACUCUUUUUAGUGCAAUAAGUAGGACAGAAGUCAAGUCUGUUUUCA
Molecule: long non-coding RNA, 230 nt
Filed under: Capsicum annuum
Lineage: Eukaryota; Viridiplantae; Streptophyta; Magnoliopsida; Solanales; Solanaceae
Description: long non-coding RNA (CANN_LNC013715)
Source: RNAcentral